RNAcentral lists this ribosomal RNA (503 nucleotides) under uncultured bacterium. RNAcentral describes it as "bacterial SSU rRNA". It matches the Rfam family "Bacterial small subunit ribosomal RNA", at positions 29 to 523 of the family's 1533-position model. The record is from RNAcentral.
AACGAACGCUGGCGGCGCGCCUAAUACAUGCAAGUCGAGCGAGAAGGUGUAGUAAUACACUUGUAAAGCGGCGAACGGGUGAGGAAUGCAUGGGUAACCUACCCUCGAGUGGGGAAUAACUAGCCGAAAGGUUAGCUAAUACCGCAUACGUUUCCGGAACUUCGGUUUCGGAAAGAAAGCAAUACCGUGGGUAUUGCGCUCCUGGAUGGGCUCAUGUCCUAUCAGCUUGUUGGUGAGGUAACGGCUCACCAAGGCUUCGACGGGUAGCUGGUCUGAGAGGACGAUCAGCCACACUGGCACUGCGACACGGGCCAGACUCCUACGGGAGCAGCAGUAAGGAAUAUUGCGCAAUGGACGAAAGUCUGACGCAGCGACGCCGCGUGGGGGAGUGAAGGUCUUCGGAUUGUAAACCCCUUUCGGGAGGGAAGAUGGAGUGGGGUAACCACUUGGACGGUACCUCCACGAAGCAGCCACGGCUAACUUCGUGCCAGCAGCCGCGGUAA